RNAcentral lists this transfer RNA (68 nucleotides) under Mops plicatus (wrinkle-lipped free-tailed bat). RNAcentral's name for it is "tRNA-Tyr". It matches the Rfam family "tRNA". Rfam says of the family: Transfer RNA (tRNA) molecules are approximately 80 nucleotides in length. Their secondary structure includes four short double-helical elements and three loops (D, anti-codon, and T loops). The record is from RNAcentral. Lineage: Eukaryota; Metazoa; Chordata; Mammalia; Chiroptera; Molossidae.
GGUAAGGUGGCCGAAAUAAGCAUUAGACUGUAAAUCUGAAGAUGGAGGUUAGAAUCCUCUUCUUACCA